GGGAAGUGCCCUGGUUGAAAAUGUGCAUUUCGGUGGAAAUGGAGUCGUUCAAACUGGUCUUCCCGAAGAGUUAGAGGUGUGAACUCGGAUGCGCCACAGAAGGCAUCAUUGAGGGUUAGUCUGACAUCAACUGCAUGAGGUUGGAAAACGGUGUAAAAAGGACAAAAAGAUAGAGAGCAUCUGCUGGAGGAGUCUAUGGUAAGUUGCUCGACUUACAAAGUUUCCUUUUCGACACAGAUCUGCAAGCAAGGGGGGCUGUUAAGGGAAGAUGGCGAUAAGAUCAUCAUGUCAAGCAAUGAUAAGGGCAGCAA
RNAcentral lists this unclassified non-coding RNA (311 nucleotides) under Hevea brasiliensis (rubber tree). Lineage: Eukaryota; Viridiplantae; Streptophyta; Magnoliopsida; Malpighiales; Euphorbiaceae. The record is from RNAcentral.